CAGUCGCCGCGGGAAUACAGAGGGUGCGAGCGUUAAUCGGAUUUACUGGGCGUAAAGCGUGCGUAGGCGGCUUUUUAAGUCGGAUGUGAAAUCCCCGAGCUUAACUUGGGAAUUGCAUUCGAUACUGGGAAGCUAGAGUAUGGGAGAGGAUGGUAGAAUUCCAGGUGUAGCGGUGAAAUGCGUAGAGAUCUGGAGGAAUACCGAUGGCGAAGGCAGCCAUCUGGCCUAAUACUGACGCUGAGGUACGAAAGCAUGGGGAGCAAACAGGAUUAGAUACCCGGGUAGUCCCUGUCUCUUAUAC
This 301-nucleotide ribosomal RNA is filed under the name uncultured bacterium. Its description in RNAcentral is "partial 16S ribosomal RNA". It matches the Rfam family "Bacterial small subunit ribosomal RNA", at positions 509 to 807 of the family's 1533-position model. The record is from RNAcentral.